AAUGAUACCAAUUUUUAACUUACUAGCAACUGUCUCUUUCAGUUGGGUACCAAAGCCGUGGGUGAUCAUGCGGAGCUCUCCCUACCUGUGCUGUGCUCGCUCACUCUUCUGGAUCAGCAGGAUGUAGUCAUUCAGGCUGAGGAGUGAGGAAGGGGUACAAGUUGGAACUGUUAUCAGCACAUGUUAUGAUGAAUUCAGGGAGUUGGUCAACAAAUGUAUCCAUGAAAAAACCAGGAAAAGAAAUUUUGACUGCUUCUUGCUGCUUGUUACUGUGAAAGAUAAUCGACUGCUUCCUGAUUCUUAGGAAAAGGAAACAAAAGUUCACUCCCUCAACGGAAGAGGAACCCAUCGUUCUAGCCAAAUGUACCUG
This 370-nucleotide long non-coding RNA is filed under the name Felis catus (domestic cat). RNAcentral's name for it is "lncRNA (ENSFCAG00000049709.1)". The record is from RNAcentral. Lineage: Eukaryota; Metazoa; Chordata; Mammalia; Carnivora; Felidae.